RNAcentral lists this ribosomal RNA (253 nucleotides) under uncultured bacterium. RNAcentral describes it as "partial 16S ribosomal RNA". It matches the Rfam family "Bacterial small subunit ribosomal RNA", at positions 524 to 776 of the family's 1533-position model. The record is from RNAcentral.
UACGGAGGGGGCUAGCGUUGUUCGGAAUUACUGGGCGUAAAGGGCUUGUAGGUGGCCAACUAAGUCAGACGUGAAAUCCCUCGGCUUAACCGGGGAACCGCGUCUGAUACUGGAUGGCUGGAGUGUGGGAGAGGGAUGCGGAAUUCCAGGUGUAGCGGUGAAAUGCGUAGAUAUCUGGAGGAACACCGGUGGCGAAGGCGGCAUCCUGGACCAUUACUGACACUGAAAAGCGAAAGCCAGGGGAGCAAACGGG